GCGGCUAACACAUGCAGUCGAGCGGCAGCACGGGUACUUGUACCUGGUGGCGAGCGGCGGACGGGUGAGUAAUGCCUAGGAAUCUGCCUGGUAGUGGGGGAUAACGCUCGGAAACGGACGCUAAUACCGCAUACGUCCUACGGGAGAAAGCAGGGGACCUUCGGGCCUUGCGCUAUCAGAUGAGCCUAGGUCGGAUUAGCUAGUUGGUGAGGUAAUGGCUCACCAAGGCGACGAUCCGUAACUGGUCUGAGAGGAUGAUCAGUCACACUGGAACUGAGACACGGUCCAGACUCCUACGGGAGGCAGCAGUGGGGAAUAUUGGACAAUGGGCGAAAGCCUGAUCCAGCCAUGCCGCGUGUGUGAAGAAGGUCUUCGGAUUGUAAAGCACUUUAAGUUGGGAGGAAGGGCAUUUACCUAAUACGUAAGUGUUUUGACGUUACCGACAGAAUAAGCACCGGCUAACUCUGUGCCAGCAGCCGCGGUAAUACAGAG
Molecule: ribosomal RNA, 492 nt
Filed under: bacterium
Lineage: Bacteria
Description: bacterial SSU rRNA
Rfam family: Bacterial small subunit ribosomal RNA
Source: RNAcentral